Molecule: non-coding RNA, 1616 nt
Organism: Hydra vulgaris (swiftwater hydra)
Lineage: Eukaryota; Metazoa; Cnidaria; Hydrozoa; Anthoathecata; Hydridae
Source: RefSeq, a predicted model, not a curated record
UGAUUGAAAAUCUUUAUUCAUAGCUUUAACUUUUACAAUUUUAAAGACUUUUUCAUAUAUUACAGUCAAAAAGUCAGAGUGUAAUUAAUAUUUUGUUUUAUAAUAAUCAACAUAUCAAAGCUUACACUACUGGCUUGGUCAGAGAGCGAGAGCGAUCGUUCUUGGAUACUGACCACCGAAAUUAUAUUUAGUUGCGAAGAACUGGCCUGGUUUUUUAGUCGUUUUGAGAACAUUUAGGUUUAUGAACGUAACAAUUUUUUUGUUGGAUUUCAAAGUCACCAACUUUGAAUUCCAUUUGAAAUCAACUGUUGAAAAAAACAACAGACUAUUCAUAUCAGUUUAAAGUUUUAACAGUUGCUGGUGGUUCAUUGUUAUUUAUUAUAUAAACGUUUAUUUAAAUUUAUCUAAUAGACAAAGGUAAUACGAUAUUUUUAUAGAUGAUAUUAUUUUUUAAAUUGUAUUAUUAAAAUUCAGAACUAAAAUAAAUAAAAAAAAAAUUAUAUUUAAACAUUUGACAAGGUCUGUACUGUACCUGGAAAAUCUGGAAAAUGUGUUAAUAUUGGCCAAAGUGGUGGAAAACCUGGAAAAGUCAGGGAAAUAUUUUUUUUUUUAGAUAGUCAUGGAAAAGUCAGUAUUUCUAGUUAAGAAGUUACUCAUUUUGCAAUUGAACGCUGUAUUUUGAAAACGUGAAGAGUCACACUUUUUAAAAUUGAGGUUAUUUGAAAAGAAUAUUUUCUUAAUCAUCCUUAAUAAGAAGAACCAUACUAGCAUGUAUAAUAAGAUCUAUACUAAUAUCUCAAACAUUAAUAAGAAUUGUUUUGUGUCAGUCCCAGAAAUUGAAUGCACACCUGCAAACUUCAUAAUUCAUAAAAAUAUUAUGAAUCCAUUAGCAAGUAUAUAUUUUGAUCAUUAAAAAUUUGGCCUUCUGUCUUUAAUUUUAUCUCUUUUGUUAGUGAUUCUUGUAUUUACUUUCAUAAAUUCUAAAUAUAAUAUAUAAUUAGUUGUAUAGUUUUUUAAUAAUAUAAUUAACUUUAUUGUUUCAAGAUAAAGUUGUAUCCUUGAAAAAUAUACUGGUAUUAUUGGCACAAUCGGCAAGCAUUGAAGUGCAACUUGGUGAACUACAAAAUACAUCAAAUUCAGUUAUAAAAAUUUGAGUAUCAAAGGUAUGCUAAUUAUUGUAUUGCCUGAAAGAGUGUCAUUGCCAUUAAAAGCAGUGAAGAAUUCAAGUACUCUGAAAGAAAAAAGACAAGAAAACACUUCAGUAAAUGGCUGCGUAUUUUUGCAAGUUAAUUAUUUGGCACAAAUUGAAGUUAAAGACGAAGGAGAUAGUAUUUGUUAUUUACUAAGAAUAGUUUAUUAAAAUGGCCUAGCUGUAAAAUUAAAUUAUGCAGGGAGAGGAUAAAAAAUUGGAAUAGGAAAAAUGUUGAUUGCAUAUGCUGCUAUUGAAACUGUGAAGUCAAUUAAGCAUGCAGACAUGUGAUAGAGAUAGCAGAAGAAAAAAUAAUAAUCGUGGGCACCAAAUAUCAUAAGCUAAACACGAUUCAAUAACAAGUAGCUCAGUCAAUAUCGAAACUUCUCUAUAAAUUUUACAGUGAAUUUUUUUAUUUAAAACUCAA